RNAcentral lists this long non-coding RNA (341 nucleotides) under Androctonus crassicauda. Lineage: Eukaryota; Metazoa; Arthropoda; Arachnida; Scorpiones; Buthidae. The record is from RNAcentral.
CACAGAUGUUGGAAACUACCAAUGUCUGCAUUUCUAACAAGUGGCAGCAAUGUCAAGUUCUGUUGCGAUGGAAACAAGCUCUUUUCUGAAUUUGCUGCAGGUUUCAUCCAAGUGGGAAUCUGGCUUUAGUCACACACCUCCAGAUUGUCCUAGCCAUAUAUCUCCAGACUGUCACUUAGCCACACCAACAUUUUGCUUUUCUCAUCAAUGUGAAUAUUUAUGUUCAGACAAAUUCUGUAUGAUGAUUAUGCUUCUGUGUUAUCCAGAUGUAUAGUUUUGUGCAAAAAGUUUGUCAGGUUACUGGAAAAGGUUCGGCUAUCCAGCAAUACGCACAAAUACUG